Molecule: ribosomal RNA, 485 nt
Filed under: Dioszegia crocea
Lineage: Eukaryota; Fungi; Basidiomycota; Tremellomycetes; Tremellales; Bulleribasidiaceae
Description: eukaryotic LSU rRNA
Rfam family: Eukaryotic large subunit ribosomal RNA
Source: RNAcentral
UCCCUUCGGAAUAGGGUAUCAAAGAGGGUGACAAUCCCGUACUUGACAUGACUACCGAUGUUCUGUGAUACAUUUUCUACGAGUCGAGUUGUUUGGGAAUGCAGCUCUAAAUGGGUGGUAAAUUCCAUCUAAAGCUAAAUAUUGGUGAGAGACCGAUAGCGAACAAGUACCGUGAGGGAAAGAUGAAAAGCACUUUGGAAAGAGAGUUAAACAGUACGUGAAAUUGUUGAAAGGGAAACGAUUGAAGUCAGUCAUGUCUGUUGGUUUCAGCUUGCCCUGCAAGUGUAUUACCUUCAGACGGGUCAACAUCAGUUUUGGUGCGGUGGAUAAGAGCGGAUUGAAGGUGGCACCCUCGGGUGUGUUAUAGCUUUCUGUUGCAUACACUGCCUGAGACUGAGGACUGCAGCUCGCCUUUAUGGCCGCCCCUCGGGGACGUUCGAGCUUAGGAUGUUGGCAUAAUGGCUUUAAACGACCCGUCUGCCCCA